GAUGAACGCUGGCGGCGUGCCUAAUACAUGCAAGUCGAGCGAACAGACGAGGAGCUUGCUCCUCUGACGUUAGCGGCGGACGGGUGAGUAACACGUGGAUAACCUACCUAUAAGACUGGGAUAACUUCGGGAAACCGGAGCUAAUACCGGAUAAUAUAUUGAACCGCAUGGUUCAAUAGUGAAAGACGGUUUUGCUGUCACUUAUAGAUGGAUCCGCACCGCAUUAGCUAGUUGGUAAGGUAACGGCUUACCAAGGCAACGAUGCGUAGCCGACCUGAGAGAGUGAUCGGCCACACUGGAACUGAGACACGGUCCAGACUCCUACGGGAGGCAGCAGUAGGGAAUCUUCCGCAAUGGGCGAAAGCCUGACGGAGCAACGCCGCGUGAGUGAUGAAGGUCUUCGGAUCGUAAAACUCUGUUAUUAGGGAAGAACAAAUGUGUAAGUAACUAUGCACGUCUUGACGGUACCUAAUCAGAAAGCCACGGCUAACUACGUG
RNAcentral lists this ribosomal RNA (497 nucleotides) under uncultured bacterium. RNAcentral's name for it is "partial 16S ribosomal RNA". It matches the Rfam family "Bacterial small subunit ribosomal RNA", at positions 28 to 507 of the family's 1533-position model. The record is from RNAcentral.